RNAcentral lists this ribosomal RNA (1331 nucleotides) under uncultured Pelagibacterales bacterium. RNAcentral describes it as "bacterial SSU rRNA". It matches the Rfam family "Bacterial small subunit ribosomal RNA", at positions 60 to 1438 of the family's 1533-position model. The record is from RNAcentral. Lineage: Bacteria; Pseudomonadati; Pseudomonadota; Alphaproteobacteria; Candidatus Pelagibacterales.
AGUCGAACGAAGUAGCAAUACUUAGUGGCAGACGGGUGAGUAACAUGUAGGUAUCUGCCCUUUGGCCUGGAAUAACACGAGGAAACUUGUGCUAAUACCGGAUAAGUCUUUACGGAGAAAGCUUUAUGCACCAUUGGAUGAGCCUGCACUUGAUUAGUUUGUUGGUGGGGUAAUGGCCUACCAAGACUGUGAUCAAUAGCUGAUUUGAGAGGAUGAUCAGCCACAUUGGGACUGAGACACGGCCCAAACUCCUACGGGAGGCAGCAGUGGGGAAUCUUGCACAAUGGAGGAAACUCUGAUGCAGCGAUGCCGCGUGAGUGAAGAAGGCCUUUGGGUUGUAAAGCUCUUUCGUCGGGGAAGAAAAUGACUGUACCCGAAUAAGAAGGUCCGGCUAACUUCGUGCCAGCAGCCGCGGUAAUACGAAGGGACCUAGCGUAGUUCGGAAUUACUGGGCUUAAAGAGUUCGUAGGUGGUUGAAAAAGUUGGUGGUGAAAUCCCAGAGCUUAACUCUGGAACUGCCAUCAAAACUUUUCAGCUAGAGUAUGAUAGAGGAAAGUAGAAUUUCUAGUGUAGAGGUGAAAUUCGUAGAUAUUAGAAAGAAUACCAAUUGCGAAGGCAGCUUUCUGGAUCAUUACUGACACUGAGGAACGAAAGCAUGGGUAGCGAAGAGGAUUAGAUACCCUCGUAGUCCAUGCCGUAAACGAUGUGUGUUAGACGUUGGAAAUUUAUUUUCAGUGUCGCAGCGAAAGCGAUAAACACACCGCCUGGGGAGUACGACCGCAAGGUUAAAACUCAAAUGAAUUGACGGGGACCCGCACAAGUAGUGGAGCAUGUGGUUUAAUUCGAAGAUACGCGCAGAACCUUACCAACACUUGACAUGUUCGUCGCGACUCUAAGAGAUUAGAGUUUUCGGUUCGGCCGGACGAAACACAGGUGCUGCAUGGCUGUCGUCAGCUCGUGUCGUGAGAUGUUGGGUUAAGUCCCGCAACGAGCGCAACCCUCACUUUUAGUUGCCAUCAUUAAGUUGGGCACUCUGAAAGAACUGCCAGUGAUAAGCUGGAGGAAGGUGGGGAUGACGUCAAGUCCUCAUGGCCCUUACGUGUUGGGCUACACACGUGCUACAAUGGUAUCUACAACAGGAAGCAAGACUGCGAAGUUAAGCAAAUCCCUAAAAGAUACCUCAGUUCGGAUUGCACUCUGCAACUCGAGUGCAUGAAGCUGGAAUUACUAGUAAUCGUGGAUCAGCGUGCCACGGUGAAUGCGUUCCCGGGUCUUGUACACACCGCCCGUCACACCAUGGGAGUUGGUUCUACCUUAAGGCAAGGUUUAAA